CAGCAGCCGCGGUAAUACGAGGGGUGCAAGCGUUAUUCGGAUUGAUUGGGUGUAAAGGGUGUGCAGACGGCUUAUUAAGUCACUUGUUAAAUUCUUCGGCCUAACUGAAGGUCUGCAAGUGAUACUGAUGAGCUAGAGGGCGGAAAAGAGAAGUGGAAUUCUCGGAGUAGCGGUAAAAUGCGUAGAUCUCGAGGGAACACCAAUGGCGAAGGCAGCUUCUUGGUCCAUUCCUGACGUUCAUACACGAAAGCGUGGGGAGCAAACAGGAUUAGAUACCCCCGUAGUCCCUGUCUCUUAUACA
This 301-nucleotide ribosomal RNA is filed under the name uncultured bacterium. RNAcentral describes it as "partial 16S ribosomal RNA". It matches the Rfam family "Bacterial small subunit ribosomal RNA", at positions 509 to 808 of the family's 1533-position model. The record is from RNAcentral.